Molecule: long non-coding RNA, 1059 nt
Filed under: Felis catus (domestic cat)
Lineage: Eukaryota; Metazoa; Chordata; Mammalia; Carnivora; Felidae
Description: lncRNA (ENSFCAG00000046565.2)
Source: RNAcentral
ACUUUACUUUACUUUUAUUUUAUUAUUUUAUUAUUUUACUUUACAUUUCUUUUAUUUAUUUUAUUAUUUUACUUUACUUUUUAUUAUUUAUUUUAUUUUAUUGUUUAUUUAUUUUGGGAGAGAGAGCGCGCACGUGCGAGGGUGCACAUAUGCCUAAGCAGCCCAAGCAGGGGAGGGACCAAGAGAGAGGGAGCUGUCAGUGCAGAGCCCGAUGUGGGGCUCAAUCCCACCAACCUGUGAGAUCAUGACCUGAGCGAAAAUCAAGAGUCAGGCACUUAACCCACUGAGCCACCCAGGCGCCCCCACACUGGCAUUUUAAAGUUAUCGGUAAGACAUUUCAUUUUUCAAUUAAGUUGUAAAUUAUCUUUACUAAUUCUUGACCCAGGAUGCUGGCAUACUGACUCCACCCCUGCUCUUUUAGAAAAAGAAAUGCUUUAUCUUUUCAUUCCUGAGUAACUGAAGUGUUUUGACCCAGAGAUAAAAAUCUUCGAGUCAGGUCACUUGAGGGUAGAACGUGGCUACUCUCACUCAUUUGGCUUUUUUUUUUUUUCUUCUUUUUUUCCUAAGGCAUCUGGCCUCCUUUGAAGACCUUUCUCUGUUAUCACCACAGUACUUGGCUCCUGAGGUGGCGCUGGCCAUGAAGGUACGGGCUGGACCUAUGGUGUGGACGAGCCUAUGGUCAGAGAAGCCUCUGUGCUCAGCAUCCAGAAGGGCCUCUGAGAUUUCAGACGGGCUCAACUAGUCUCCAAGACCAAAGGCCCUGGCUCCCUACUUGCACAGUGUCACCACAGCAGGUAGAAAGAAGUCCUCGGUGCCAUUGGAGAACGUUGGCCUCUGAGACGAGCAGUGGGGCCACCAGCCCUUUUAAGGGCUGACGAUUUUGAAUACCUGAAUGGUCUCGGGUUUUGCACUGGGCAGACAGAUUGACCAGACCUUCAGAAGUGGAAUGAAUGAUAAAGAAGCUUCAUCAUCUCCUGGGGAUCCCUUCUCCUCCAGUGUCGCCCCCUUUCCUGGCUCAGAUCGCCUCCCCAGUUUCACUUCUUCAUCUUACUAGGAGGC